CCUACGGGAGGCAGCAGUAGGGAAUAUUGCACAAUGGGGGAAACCCUGAUGCAGCGACGCCGCGUGAGUGAAGAAGUAUUUCGGUAUGUAAAGCUCUAUCAGCAGGGAAGAAAAUGACGGUACCUGAUUAAGAAGCCCCGGCUAACUACGUGCCAGCAGCCGCGGUAAUACGUAGGGGGCAAGCGUUAUCCGGAUUUACUGGGUGUAAGGGGAGCGUAGACGGCAGCACAAGUCUGGAGUGAAAUGCCGGGGCUUAACCCCGGAACUGCUUUGGAAACUGUGCAGCUAGAGUGCAGGAGAGGUAAGUGGAAUUCCUAGUGUAGCGGUGAAAUGCGUAGAUAUUAGGAGGAACACCAGUGGCGAAGGCGGCUUACUGGACUGUAACUGACGUUGAGGCUCGAAAGCGUGGGGAGCAAACAGGAUUAGAUACCCCUGUAGUC
RNAcentral lists this ribosomal RNA (440 nucleotides) under uncultured bacterium. RNAcentral's name for it is "partial 16S ribosomal RNA". It matches the Rfam family "Bacterial small subunit ribosomal RNA", at positions 338 to 795 of the family's 1533-position model. The record is from RNAcentral.